AUACGGAGGGAGCGAGCGUUAAUCGGAAUUACUGGGCGUAAAGCGCGCGUAGGCGGCUUUGUAAGUCGGAUGUGAAAGCCCUGGGCUUAACCUGGGAAUGGCAUUCGAUACUGCAGAACUAGAGUAUGGUAGAGGGAAGUGGAAUUUCCGGUGUAGCGGUGAAAUGCGUAGAUAUCGGAAGGAACACCAGUGGCGAAGGCGACUUCCUGGGCCAAUACUGACGCUGAGGUGCGAAAGCGUGGGGAGCAAACAGGAUUAGAAACCCCAGUAGUCC
RNAcentral lists this ribosomal RNA (274 nucleotides) under uncultured bacterium. RNAcentral describes it as "partial 16S ribosomal RNA". It matches the Rfam family "Bacterial small subunit ribosomal RNA", at positions 523 to 796 of the family's 1533-position model. The record is from RNAcentral.